RNAcentral lists this ribosomal RNA (883 nucleotides) under uncultured bacterium. RNAcentral's name for it is "bacterial SSU rRNA". It matches the Rfam family "Bacterial small subunit ribosomal RNA", at positions 96 to 953 of the family's 1533-position model. The record is from RNAcentral.
UGGCGGACUGGUGAGUAACACAUGGGUAACCUGCCCUGGAGAUCGGGACAGCAGCUGGAAACGGCUGGUAAUACCGGAUACGUUCCCCUGGCCGCAUGGCCUUGGGAAGAAAGGUGGCCUAUCCUUGGAAGCUACCGCUCCUGGAGGGGCCCGUGGCUCAUUAGCUUGUUGGUGGGGUAACGGCUCACCAAGGCUACGAUGGGUAGCUGGUCUGAGAGGAUGACCAGCCACACUGGGACUGAGAUACGGCCCAGACUCCUACGGGAGGCAGCAGUGAGGAAUUUUUCGCAAUGGACGAAAGUCUGACGAAGCGACGCCGCGUGGGUGAAGAAGGUUUUCGGAUCGUAAAGCCCUGUCAGGGGGAAAGAACCCUUGCCAUGUGAAUAAUGUGGCAAGUUGACGGUACCUCCAAAGGAAGCUCCGGCCAACUACGUGCCAGCAGCCGCGGUAAUACGUAGGGAGCAAGCGUUAUCCGGAAUCACUGGGCGUAAAGAGCUCGUAGGCUGUUGAGUAAGUCGAAUGUUAAAGACCCCGGCUCAACCGGGGGAAUGCGUUCGAUACUGCCUGACUAGAGGACGGGAGAGGUAAGCGGAAUUCAUGGUGUAGCGGUGAAAUGCAUAGAUAUCAUGAAGAACACCAGUGGCGAAGGCGGCUUACUGGACCGUUCCUGACGCUGAGGAGCGAAAGCCAGGGGAGCAAACGGGAUUAGAUACCCCGGUAGUCCUGGCCGUAAACGAUGGGCACUAGGUGUGGGAGGUAUCGACCCCUUCCGUGCCGAAGCUAACGCAUUAAGUGCCCCGCCCUGGGUAGUACGGCCGCAAGGUUAAAACUCAAAGGAAUUGACGGGGACCCGCACAAGCGGUGGAGCAUGUGGUUUAAUUCG